This is a long non-coding RNA of Amphiprion ocellaris (clown anemonefish), 780 nucleotides long. The record is from Ensembl. Lineage: Eukaryota; Metazoa; Chordata; Actinopteri; Pomacentridae.
GGAAUAGCUGUCACAGGUAAUGAAUCUGAGGGCUGAGUUGCUGAGCUAUUUGUAGUGCCUCUCUAAUAGCAGAAAGAGUAAAGGCCUGUAGCGUGAACUGCUAGUCCGAAGAACAUUUGGAGAGGGCAGACGAGCCUCCACAAGGAAGAACAACCGCUUUGAGCACCUGUACAAAAUGGGCUUUGACAAUGUGACAGAGUACAAGCAGAAGAAGCAGCAGAGACUAGAGGAGCAACAGCUGAAGAGGACGAAGGCACAGAAGGCAAAUGGCAAUAAGAAGACCAAGAAAGAGGCAUCGGAAGCUCUGACCAAGCCAUCUGUCUGAAUGAACACCUUGAAGAUAGCGCUAAAUUACGGAGACAGCAGACAAAACAGGUCUUCCCUGACGUCCAUCCCCCUGGCAAUGCUUUCCAGUUCUUCCUGGGGGAUCCUGAGGCGUUCCCAGGCCAGACAAGGUACAUAAUCCUCCAGCGGGUUCUGGUGUACCCCGUGCUCUCCUCCCAGGCGGAUAUGCUCGAAAAAACCCAAAGGAAGUCUCACAGAAGACACCCAGAUCAGAUGUCCAAACCUCAUCAACUGGUUCCUUUCAAUGCGAAGGAGCAGCGACCCUACUCCAAGCUCCCUCUGGAUGUCUGAGCCUCUCAGCCCUGCCAUGAUAUGGAGGUAUCUCAUUUCGGCCACUUGUACCCACGAUCUUAUUCUUUCGGUCACUACUCAGAGCUCAUGACAAUAGGUGAGGGUUAAGAUAUAUAUGGACUGGUAAAUCACAACGGUCCAGUA